CAAAUUUGGAUCAUUUGUUUUGGAGAAUACCUUCUGGUGUUGAUUCGUCUCCAUACCCAUGGAUUAUUUGGUAUAUCUGAAAAGCAAGAAAUGAAAAAAAUAUUUGUAAAUCAACACCAUAAAAACACUACAAGUCUCUCUUGUGCUGACACCUCAGCUUUUUCAGUUAACAAUAACUUGACACCUCAUUAAAAUCAACAGCCAAUCAGAACAUUUCCAAUAAUACACCUCAUUUACGUUGACCAAUAAAAACUUACUAUUUUUCCGUGUCAUCCCAUCAAGUUAAUAAAAUUAAAAUUAGACAUGAGCCUAGCCCAACCAAGCUAUUUUCAAAACUAAAAUCCAUAUAAAAAUAUGGGCCUAAACUUCUUAAUCUAGAAAACUUAAUCCUCGGAAAAUAAACCGCAGAGAAUAUACCGAACCAAAACCGAUAAAAA
This 437-nucleotide small RNA is filed under the name Arabidopsis thaliana (thale cress). RNAcentral's name for it is "ATSL096370". The record is from RNAcentral. Lineage: Eukaryota; Viridiplantae; Streptophyta; Magnoliopsida; Brassicales; Brassicaceae.